CCUACGGGUGGCAGCAGUAGGGAAUAUUGCUCAAUGGGGGAAACCCUGAAGCAGCAACGCCGCGUGGAGGAUGAAGGUUUUCGGAUUGUAAACUCCUUUUGUUAGAGAAGAUAAUGACGGUAUCUAACGAAUAAGCACCGGCUAACUCCGUGACAGCAGCCGCGGUAAUACGGAGGGUGCAAGCGUUACUCGGAAUUACUGGGCGUAAAGAGCGCGUAGGCGGGAUAGCAAGUCAGAUGUGAAAUCCUAUGGCUUAACCAUAGAACUGCAUUUGAAACUGUUAUUCUAGAGUAUGGGAGAGGUAGGUGGAAUUCUUGGUGUAGGGGUAAAAUGCGUAGAGAUCAAGAGGAAUACUCAUUGCGAAGGCGACCUGCUAGAACAUAACUGACGCUGAUGCGCGAAAGCGUGGGGAGCAAACAGGAUUAGAUACCCCAGUAGUC
This 440-nucleotide ribosomal RNA is filed under the name uncultured bacterium. Its description in RNAcentral is "partial 16S ribosomal RNA". It matches the Rfam family "Bacterial small subunit ribosomal RNA", at positions 338 to 795 of the family's 1533-position model. The record is from RNAcentral.